RNAcentral lists this ribosomal RNA (253 nucleotides) under uncultured bacterium. RNAcentral describes it as "partial 16S ribosomal RNA". It matches the Rfam family "Bacterial small subunit ribosomal RNA", at positions 524 to 776 of the family's 1533-position model. The record is from RNAcentral.
UACGUAGGGUGCGAGCGUUAAUCGGAAUUACUGGGCGUAAAGCGUGCGCAGGCGGCUUUUUAAGCCAGACGUGAAAUCCCCGGGCUUAACCUGGGAAUGGCGUUUGGAACUGGAAGGCUAGAGUGUGUCAGAGGGGGGUAGAAUUCCACGUGUAGCAGUGAAAUGCGUAGAGAUGUGGAGGAAUACCGAUGGCGAAGGCAGCCCCCUGGGAUAACACUGACGCUCAUGUACGAAAGCGUGGGUAGCAAACAGG